UGACAGUUUCAGUAAACCACGGAGACGAACGGAUUACGGGCCGUAACAGCUCUCUGGGAACAAAGCGCAGCGUUCGAAGUAAUCGCCGUCGUCUUGGCUGUUGUUAAGCCACCACUCCAGCAUCCUCCCGCUUAAAAACAAAAACCAAAAACAAAAACAAAACAAAGCCCAAGGAACUCAAAAACCAAAAACAAAAAUAACACCAAGUAAUACUUAUAAAAAACAAAAACAAAAAAUUCAUCUUCUACUUGUUCUUCUGCUUCAACUUUCUUCGUCUUCGUCUCCGUUAUAAAUAUAUAUAUAUACAUAUAUCAUAUACAUACAUACAUAUAUAUCCGUGUGUGUGUGUGUUUGCGACGCGUGUGUACUGGUGCAUGUGAAUGUGUGAGCUACAACAAUCACUAAAACAACAACAACAACAA
Molecule: small RNA, 422 nt
Filed under: Drosophila pseudoobscura pseudoobscura
Lineage: Eukaryota; Metazoa; Arthropoda; Insecta; Diptera; Drosophilidae
Description: GA30550
Source: RNAcentral